GAAGUUUGCUGGACUGCCGCUGGUACUAGCCGAAAGGCCGAUGCUUGCAUCGGGUGGAAACACCGUACUGGAGGAACGUCCGGACUGCAUAGGGCGGCGUAGCAGCUAACGGCUGUCCACCGUGAGGUGAGGAUCAGAGCAACAGAGACGAGUUUGGACGGAAUCAUUCCCCCCCGGGUGUUCUGUGUGCCGGCGCAAGCCGAGCCGGAUGGCGUAAGCCAGACGGUCCAUGCGAAAGCAUGGAGCACACAGCCACCUUGGACGGGAACCGUCCAAGGUGAAACGGGCAAUCUCUACGCGCAGCAAUACCAAGUAGGCACACGUUGACGGGGCCCCCGGAGUGUGCGGGUAGGUAGCAUCGAGCCGUGGUGGCGACACCCGGCCCAGAGUAAUGGCGGUCAUGCAGCGGGAAACCGCUGUACACAGAAUCCGGCUUAUAGGCAGACUUCACAC
RNAcentral lists this RNase P RNA (453 nucleotides) under Acidovorax sp. RNAcentral's name for it is "RNase P RNA component class A". It matches the Rfam family "Bacterial RNase P class A". From Rfam's summary of the family: Ribonuclease P (RNase P) is a ubiquitous endoribonuclease, found in archaea, bacteria and eukarya as well as chloroplasts and mitochondria. Its best characterised activity is the generation of mature 5'-ends of tRNAs by cleaving the 5'-leader elements of precursor-tRNAs. The record is from RNAcentral. Lineage: Bacteria; Pseudomonadati; Pseudomonadota; Betaproteobacteria; Burkholderiales; Comamonadaceae.